Molecule: long non-coding RNA, 1956 nt
Organism: Zea mays
Lineage: Eukaryota; Viridiplantae; Streptophyta; Magnoliopsida; Poales; Poaceae
Exons: 3
Source: RefSeq, a predicted model, not a curated record
CGACUAAUUUGUUAGGUUGGUUCUUCAUCAUUUUGUAGAUGCCCUUCCUUCUCGCUACGUGAACUAACUAAUGAAAGAGGGUGGAAGUGACCCAUGAAGCUUGUCGUCAAGCUCACUACAUGAACUAACUAUACUCAGACUGCUUGUCGUCAAGCUCACUACAUCAACAAUAUGAAGCUCAAUAGGGUGGAAGUGGACCUUAUAAGGCUGUUGGAGGCUACUUUAUGGCAGCAAAACAGGUUAAACUUGUCUAUGUAUGUAACUGUAGCUAAUAUGAAUAUCUUAGAUCAUUUGUUUUCCAUCCCGUGUAACUGAUUUAAAGGAAAAUAAGUAGUGCAGCCUCAUUCUGUUCUUAUUAGUGAUAGAGAACAAUCUCAGAGACUUAGACUAUUUUGUUUUAGCACAUGAUGUCUGAUUCUUCUAUCAAUCUGAGUUGGGUUACAAUAUUAGUGGUGUGGUGGUUAUUUGUGCUCCCCCAAAUGUUUUUUAAGGUUCCCUUGUUUGAAUGAAACAGAAAAAUAAUCUUCUACAUGACAACGGCAAACAAAAUUGGGAAACUAUUAAUACAUAAUCCACUUUUUGUAUUUUGCAUCAAUGUAAAAACCUGAAUCCUGUACAUGGAGUAUUGGUCGCCAAUUAAGAGUACAUUCUGAUAAGCCUUUUGCAUAUUGCUGCUGUUUACAGAGGUUUCAGGAUUCAGGAUUUUACAUUGACACAGGUUUCAGGAUUCAGGCUAUCCUUGCAUUCUUAUCCACGGAAUUCGAUUUGGCUGAUACUGGCAUUGGGUUUCAAUAUUUUGUUAAAUCUUUAUGACUUAACAUUAUGAUGAGCGACAAAACGGCCCAAAAUGAUAAGAAUGGGGGCUUUAAGUGCUCCACUAACUUAGCCUCUAGGAAAAUCAGUCAGGCGCAUUAUUUCAGGGUUCAGUCGGUCUCACAAACUGGGUUCUUCAGGUAGGUGAUAUUAAAUUCCGUGGCAUGAAAUGAUUUAAUAUAAUCAUGGCAAUAAGCAGUAUCUGCUUCUUUCGUAAAUGUUUAUUUAUUAUAAAAACUUGAAAAGAUGUCUAGAAUUGUAUGGUUUGUUGUCUAUGCUAAUCAUCUUUAUUGAUAAGACUUCCAAUAUUUUUUGACACAAAUAUCUGGGCAAGCAGCACAAAGUCGACCAUGGCAGAUAUUAUCGGUAUCGAUCUAGGCACACCGAAUUCAUGCGGGUUCCUGAAGGACAGAUCGACGGGUUCCUGAAGGACAGAUCGACGGCACUGACGCCCCCGCACCUGUUAUUGUAAAGUUGAAUGUUUACAAUAAUGGAUGCCAAUACACAUGAUCUUGCUGGUGCUUACAUUGUUUCUGAAGAAUAUUUAGAACUAAUAAUGGCUUUUCCUGUUAAAUUUGCAGAGAGAAGGGAUGACCAUUCAUGCUGAACGGCUCAACUUUCAUCGUUAUAUCUCACACUUCCGUUAUGUUCAUAGGGGCUGUGCUUUUGCUAAAAUGCGUACAACAUCUGUUAGAAAGUUACUCCCGGAAUCAUGGGGUUUCCUGUGUCCAGUUCAUACACCUGACGGAGAGCCUUGUGGUUUACUGAAUCACAUGACUUCUACAUGACGUGUUUCAUCGUUCUACAACUCAGAAGGGGUGAUCAAAAAUUUUGGGGAAAUGAAGAAGUUGCUUUCUGCGGUUCGUGUUGGAAUGAACCCAGUGUUACCGAAGAUUGAGCAAACCGGUCCCCCAGAAGUACUCCAUGUCCAUUUGGAUGGGUGCAUUCUUGGUACUAUUGCUUCUGCUAUGAUUGAGAAAGCAGUUAAUUAUCUUCGUACAUUGAAACUUCUGGCACAAUCACUUGCUAUUACUGACUGACAUGUCCACUCCUCAUAUGUGAGAUAUUGGGGUUGAUAUAUAUGUUGUUCGUUUCCAUGUACUUGUUGUGCACUAACAUUUAUCGAAUAAUUUGUACACCGUC